CGGCUGAACCGCGCGUGACGGGUAGCGACCGACGCACAGGCACAGCCAGAAAGUUGCAAGUGAGCAAAAACGAACCCCACUUCGACGGCCGACUACCGCUGACCGCCGCCUUGAUCUGCUUCCGGCGCCACUACGCCGGCCAUGGGCUGCUCGUCUUCUCUGUCAGCAAACAGUACUGGAGGCUUGGGCAAUAUCAACAACGAGAACUCUGCAACUGACUCAAAGAAUUUGAAAGUGAAGUUGGUUUUACUGGGGGAUUCUGGUGUUGGGAAAAGCUGCAUUGUUCUUCGCUUUGUCCGUGGUCAGUUUGAUCCCACAUCAAAGGUAACUAUUGGUGCAUCAUUUCUGUCACAAACAUUGGCAUUGGAGGACUCCACAACAGUGAAGUUUGAAAUAUGGGACACUGCUGGCCAGGAGAGGUAUGCUGCAUUAGCACCUCUGUACUACAGGGGAGCUGGUGCUGCAAUCGUUGUCUAUGACAUAACAAGUGCAGAAUCAUUCAACAAAGCACAAUAUUGGGUGAAGGAACUUCAGAAACACGGUAGCCAGGAUAUGAUCAUGGCUUUGGUUGGAAAUAAGGCUGACCUACAUGAAAAACGCAUUGUGUCUUCUCAGGAAGCACAGGAGCACGCAGACAUGAGCAAUAUGUUUUUCCUUGAGACAUCGGCGAAGACAGCUGAUAAUAUAAACCAACUAUUCGAGGAAAUUGCCAAGAGGCUGCCAAGGUCUACACCACCGUCCUGAUUAACAUCGGUCUGUGUCAUAAACAACCUGGGUGAUUGUGUAACUCACAAUAUGAGUAGAAACGCCUGGACGAACAUUUGUGGCUGUUUCAACAUGCCAGGUCAAGCCAUCUGUAUCUCUGCGAGCAUACCAUUGUUUUUGGAAACAUAGCUCAUGUAAAGCUUGUCCAUUGCGCUAAUUCUGUCGAAAUGGUGGGGGUAUUCUGCUCCCAGCACGGGUAAGUUAAAUGAAGCUUAUGGCCGUGCUCUAACGCAUGGAUGUUCAGCAAGUAUGAUAAUAUGGUUGAGACUGAAACAUCUUACUAUCAAUGCAGUGCAUUGUUUUUAGGUUCGGUUUGACUCGCCUGUUGAGCCGCCAUUGACUGUACUGUACUGUACUGGAAGGGUUCAUUGCUGUCACUGUUGUGGAUGAUUAAUUUGAUUAGAUUACUACUAGUACUAGUAGUUAAUAAUGAUAACAGUUUUGCUGAUCAAGGCUUCGGAUCAUGACCCUUCCUUGUUCUUUCCUUGUG
Molecule: ribosomal RNA, 1255 nt
Filed under: Triticum aestivum (bread wheat)
Lineage: Eukaryota; Viridiplantae; Streptophyta; Magnoliopsida; Poales; Poaceae
Description: partial small subunit ribosomal RNA
Source: RNAcentral